AAUCCAUAGGUUAAUGAGGCGAACCGGGGGAACUGAAACAUCUAAGUACCCCGAGGAAAAGAAAUCAACCGAGAUUCCCCCAGUAGCGGCGAGCGAACGGGGAGGAGCCCAGAGCCUGAAUCAGCAUGUGUGUUAGUGGAAGCGUCUGGAAAGGCGCGCGAUACAGGGUGACAGCCCCGUACACAAAAGCGCAUGUGCUGUGAGCUCGAUGAGUAGGGCGGGACACGUGGUAUCCUGUCUGAAUAUGGGGGGACCAUCCUCCAAGGCUAAAUACUCCUGACUGACCGAUAGUGAACCAGUACCGUGAGGGAAAGGCGAAAAGAACCCCGGCGAGGGGAGUGAAAAAGAACCUGAAACCGUGUACGUACAAGCAGUGGGAGCACCCUUCGGGGUGUGACUGCGUACCUUUUGUAUAAUGGGUCAGCGACUUAUAUUCUGUAGCAAGGUUAACCGUAUAGGGGAGCCGGAGGGAAACCGAGUCUUAACCGGGCGUUAAGUUGCAGGGUAUAGACCCGAAACCCGGUGAUCUAGCCAUGGGCAGGUUGAAGGUUGGGUAACACUAACUGGAGGACCGAACCGACUAAUGUUGAAAAAUUAGCGGAUGACCUGUGGCUGGGGGUGAAAGGCCAAUCAAACCGGGAGAUAGCUGGUUCUCCCCGAAAGCUAUUUAGGUAGCGCCUCGUGAAUUCAUCUCCGGGGGUAGAGCACUGUUUCGGCUAGGGGGCCAUCCCGGCUUACCAACCCGAUGCAAACUGCGAAUACCGGAGAAUGUUAUCACGGGAGACACACGGCGGGUGCUAACGUCCGUCGUGAAGAGGGAAACAACCCAGACCGCCAGCUAAGGUCCCAAAGUCAUGGUUAAGUGGGAAACGAUGUGGGAAGGCCCAGACAGCCAGGAUGUUGGCUUAGAAGCAGCCAUCAUUUAAAGAAAGCGUAAUAGCUCACUGGUCGAGUCGGCCUGCGCGGAAGAUGUAACGGGGCUAAACCAUGCACCGAAGCUGCGGCAGCGACACUCAGGUGUUGUUGGGUAGGGGAGCGUUCUGUAAGCCUGUGAAGGUGUGUCGUGAGGCAUGCUGGAGGUAUCAGAAGUGCGAAUGCUGACAUAAGUAACGAUAAAGCGGGUGAAAAGCCCGCUCGCCGGAAGACCAAGGGUUCCUGUCCAACGUUAAUCGGGGCAGGGUGAGUCGACCCCUAAGGCGAGGCCGAAAGGCGUAGUCGAUGGGAAACGGGUUAAUAUUCCCGUACUUGGUGUUACUGCGAAGGGGGGACGGAGAAGGCUAUGUUGGCCGGGCGACGGUUGUCCCGGUUUAAGCGUGUAGGUGUGUGUUCCAGGUAAAUCCGGUUCACUUUAACACUGAGGCGUGAUGACGAGGCACUACGGUGCUGAAGCAACAAAUGCCCUGCUUCCAGGAAAAGCCUCUAAGCAUCAGGUAACAUCAAAUCGUACCCCAAACCGACACAGGUGGUCAGGUAGAGAAUACCAAGGCGCUUGAGAGAACUCGGGUGAAGGAACUAGGCAAAAUGGUGCCGUAACUUCGGGAGAAGGCACGCUGACACGUAGGUGAAGUGAUUUACUCAUGGAGCUGAAGUCAGUCGAAGAUACCAGCUGGCUGCAACUGUUUAUUAAAAACACAGCACUGUGCAAACACGAAAGUGGACGUAUACGGUGUGACGCCUGCCCGGUGCCGGAAGGUUAAUUGAUGGGGUCAGCGCAAGCGAAGCUCCUGAUCGAAGCCCCGGUAAACGGCGGCCGUAACUAUAACGGUCCUAAGGUAGCGAAAUUCCUUGUCGGGUAAGUUCCGACCUGCACGAAUGGCGUAAUGAUGGCCAGGCUGUCUCCACCCGAGACUCAGUGAAAUUGAACUCGCUGUGAAGAUGCAGUGUACCCGCGGCAAGACGGAAAGACCCCGUGAACCUUUACUAUAGCUUGACACUGAACAUUGAGCCUUGAUGUGUAGGAUAGGUGGGAGGCUUUGAAGCGUGGACGCCAGUCUGCGUGGAGCCGACCUUGAAAUACCACCCUUUAAUGUUUGAUGUUCUAACGUGGACCCGUGAUCCGGGUUGCGGACAGUGUCUGGUGGGUAGUUUGACUGGGGCGGUCUCCUCCUAAAGAGUAACGGAGGAGCACGAAGGUUGGCUAAUCCUGGUCGGACAUCAGGAGGUUAGUGCAAUGGCAUAAGCCAGCUUGACUGCGAGCGUGACGGCGCGAGCAGGUGCGAAAGCAGGUCAUAGUGAUCCGGUGGUUCUGAAUGGAAGGGCCAUCGCUCAACGGAUAAAAGGUACUCCGGGGAUAACAGGCUGAUACCGCCCAAGAGUUCAUAUCGACGGCGGUGUUUGGCACCUCGAUGUCGGCUCAUCACAUCCUGGGGCUGAAGUAGGUCCCAAGGGUAUGGCUGUUCGCCAUUUAAAGUGGUACGCGAGCUGGGUUUAGAACGUCGUGAGACAGUUCGGUCCCUAUCUGCCGUGGGCGCUGGAGAACUGAGGGGGGCUGCUCCUAGUACGAGAGGACCGGAGUGGACGCAUCACUGGUGUUCGGGUUGUCAUGCCAAUGGCACUGCCCGGUAGCUAAAUGCGGAAGAGAUAAGUGCUGAAAGCAUCUAAGCACGAAACUUGCCCCGA
Molecule: ribosomal RNA, 2619 nt
Filed under: Salmonella enterica subsp. enterica serovar Thompson
Lineage: Bacteria; Pseudomonadati; Pseudomonadota; Gammaproteobacteria; Enterobacterales; Enterobacteriaceae
Description: partial 23S ribosomal RNA
Rfam family: Bacterial large subunit ribosomal RNA
Source: RNAcentral